This 510-nucleotide ribosomal RNA is filed under the name uncultured bacterium. RNAcentral's name for it is "partial 16S ribosomal RNA". It matches the Rfam family "Bacterial small subunit ribosomal RNA", at positions 28 to 507 of the family's 1533-position model. The record is from RNAcentral.
GACGAACGCUGGCGGCGUGCUUAACACAUGCAAGUCGAACGAAGAGCGAUGGAAUCUUGCUUCUCUCAAUCUUAGUGGCGAACGGGUGAGUCACGCGUAAUCAACCUGCCCUUCAGAGGGGGACAACAGUUGGAAACGACUGCUAAUACCACAUACGAUCUGACCUCGGCAUCGAGGAUAGAUGAAAGGUGGCCUCUAUUUAUAAGCUAUCACUGAAGGAGGGGAUUUCGUCUGAUUAGCUAGUUGGAGGGGUAACGUCCCACCAAGGCGAUGAUCAGUAGCCGCACUGCGAGGAUGAGCGGCCACAUUGGGACUGAGACACGACCCAGACUCCUAGGGGAGGGAGCAGUGCGGAAUCUUCCGCAAUGGACGAAAGUCUGACGGAGCAACGACGCGUGAGUGAUGACGGCCGUCGGGUUGUGAAGCUCUGUUAGUCGGGACGAAAGGCCUUCUUGCGAAUAGUUAGAAGGAUUGACGGUACCGGAAGAGAAAGCCACGGCUAACUACGUG